UGCUUUUCUUCUUCACCUUCAAUUCUCAAUUAUUUGUUACAAACUUUCUCAGCUCUUUCUUGUUUUCUAGCCUGCAUCUUCCAUUUUCGUGUAAAUUUUAUUUUCUUGUUUAUCAAGACUCAUUGCCACAACAAACCUUGUUACUGUGUUAGUGCCACAACAACAAAACAAAAGAAUUUUCAGUAUCAUUUUCUGCUCUAAUGAUGGUGACAAUAUGAGCUACUUUGAUGAUUCAGCUCAGAGUAUGUAUUCUCAGUUUCCCAACAACAACAGUAGUGCAGGCAACAAUGACAAGAGUAACAAUCCAGAGCCUAAACUUAGUACAAAUCAAACAUAUGGAGGAUCAAUCAUUUGCCAAAUGUGUGAAAAACUAGUACAUGGAGCUCACAUAUGUUAUCAGAAAAAUCCACAACAAUGUAAAGGUUCUAACACUACUGUUAAAUGUCUUAUUUGCAAGAAACAAGCCCAUGCUAGAAAAGGGUGCAAGUACAUGUUUGAUGAUAAAAGACUUUUUAGCCAAAUUGCUAAUUUGCUACCCUACCUUUCAUUUUAGUAUCAAUUUGCUAUCCUAGGUUUCAUUUCAGUCAAUUUGUUACCCUAGCUUCAAUUAGCCAAUUUGUUACCCUAACUAUUAUUUAUGCCAAUUUGCUAUCUUAUAUUUUCAAAAUUAGCCAAUUUGCUACAUUUUUGUCAUUUAAUUUGUUCAUUUCUUCAUUCAAAUAUGAAUUAAUUCUGAAAAUCGAAGGCUAAAGUUGGUUGAUAUUGAAAUUUUGAUAAGUAAAUUGGUUAAUUUUGAAAGCCUAAAAUAACAAAUUUGAUGGAAGAGUAGCAAAUUGGCUGAAAUAAAAGCUUGAGUAUAACGAAUUAGCUAAUUUAGAAAAGCUAGAGUGGCAAAUUGGCACUAAAGUGAAAAUUAGGAUAGCAAAUUAACAAUUAUGCCAUGAUAAAAAUGAGAGCACUAUUAAUGGAUGUAUACACUAAUAAUGCAUCUGUUCAAAUUGGUAAAAGCUUGUCAAAUAAAACUGUUGAAGAACACUCUCACUCUAUAGUUGAUAAAGCCACAGUCCUUCCAGCCUUACCUAUGUCCACUCCUUCACCAUGUUUUAAGAGCACAAAACAGUACAAACACUAAUGCAGCAACCUAGUGGUUGGUGAACCUAGCACUAGUUUGAGGGGGUUGUUAACUGAAUGAUGUAGAAUGCAAGGAAUAAUUGGCACGUGUUCUUCACUCAUAUGUGUGUUUUGGAGGACUAGUCUGUUGCAAUCUCAGUGUCUCAUAACAACCUUCUUUGAGGUGAUAUCGUGACCAAGAGGGAACGAUCUUAGCCAUACACGUGUCCAACCUUUCUCUAUUACAGAAGAUAUUUUUGAUGCAACCUCUCUUGCAUAUCCUUUAUAUAUUUUUGUGUACUACAACUUUGUCUGAGAAUCAUCAUCAUCUGUAUAAUUACUUUUUCUAUUAAUACAAGUUGUGCUUUUCUUCUUCACCUUCAAUUCUCAAUUACUUCUUCACAAAACUCUCUGCUCUUUCUUGUUUUCUAGACUGCAUGUUCCAUUUUUGUGUAAGUUUUGUUUUCUUUUAUCAAGACUCAUUACCACAUCAAAUUUUGUUAUCGUGAUUAUGAAAUUUAGCACUAAUGAACCCAACACCAACUCUAGCUCAAUCCAAAGAGAAGAGGGAUUGGGCUUGAAGUAAUUAAUAUUUGCCCAACCCACACUCACAACCCUCAGCUUGACACCGGUCUAUGAAACCUAGCAAAGCUGCUAAAGUUGUGAUCACCAUCAAAUUCGUCCACCAGUCAUCUAUACCGGGUGUCCAUGACAAUCAACAUAAAACCACAAGCGAGAUCAAUAACCCACCAUCUCUUGCAAGCCGGACUCGCGCCAUUGACCGACUCAUUGCGGCAAGACGCACGCCUUCACUUGUUUACCACUGAUGCUCGUCAUUCAUAGCCACCAUCAUCGCCACAGACCAACAAUCCAACACCAAAAAGCAAACACCUAAAGCUGGAUACCACAAAGCCGAACCAAACUUAGAUCAUUAAUGAAGUUGCCAAGAAGUACGAGAAGUCGACGCAACCGAGAAGCAAAUCCUGCCGCUUGCAGGAAACCUUAAUUUCAUUUGCUACUGCGCGUGAGGGGCAUUUUAAAGUCAGUACUCUAAAGAAAGAAUGAUAGUUUAGAAGAAUAUUAAAUCAUGUCCGGUAACGUUUUAAUAAAUAAUUUUUCAACAACAAAUUCUUAAAAUGAAAACGAGAAAAUAAAGUUGUAUCUUUUAGAUCUGAAAAUGUGUUUGGUAGAUUAGUUAGAAAACAAUUUUGAAACCGAAAAUGACAAAACGCGUACGAUAGUACCACAUUAAAAUGCAAAGAACACUGCAAAUGUAUUCAGGUACAAUAUUUUCAAAGUCUCAAUUUUCAAUAUUUUAGUGUACCUAAAAACCACACCUUAGCAAAACGAUGCUAACGAGUAUGAAUCGACUAAAACGACACAUACUUUGUCUUUAUUUUGGAAAAUAAUUUUCAUGUGUUUAAAAAUAUGAAAAUGUGCCCAUUUUACAUGUAAAAUAGAAAAUCAAAUUUUAAGUUUUAUUUUGAUCACUUUUAAAAACAAACUAACGAACACAUUUUGAAACUAUUUUCAUCUUGAAAUACGAAAAUAUAAAAGCGUUACCGAACGCCAACUUACAAACUUGAAAAGGAAACAACAACAAAUAUUUUAUGUAAAAAAGAACAAAAAAACUCAACCAGAGAAUUUGGAAAAAAAGGAAAAAGAAAAAAUAACCUUCUGGAAUUUUCUAAUAAACGAAAAAACAUAAUUGUUGAUAAUAUAAAUAGGCCAAAACCCUUUCUUUUAUGCUCUCUCUGUCCUCCACUCUACUCCUCCCUAAACCAACCGCUCUCGCGCCUCUUGAAGAUCCAGCAAAACCCUAGACACCACCGCCGGAUCUCUACAGGAGGUGAGAGAAGUCACUUUCAACCACCAAUCUUCUCCUCUUCUCUCACCUCUCUACCCUCCGAUCCACCCACCCACUCAGGUCGUCCUCUCUCUCUCUCUCUCUCUCUCUCUCUCUCUCUCUCUCUCACACACACACACACACACACAUUACCCCUUCAUGCGCUUCUCAAUUUUUUCAAAUUUGUUGUUGCAAUUUCUGGUUCCUC
RNAcentral lists this long non-coding RNA (3164 nucleotides) under Fragaria vesca (wild strawberry). Its description in RNAcentral is "long non-coding RNA (FVES_LNC000623)". Lineage: Eukaryota; Viridiplantae; Streptophyta; Magnoliopsida; Rosales; Rosaceae. The record is from RNAcentral.